RNAcentral lists this ribosomal RNA (138 nucleotides) under uncultured Bacteroides sp. RNAcentral describes it as "partial 16S ribosomal RNA". It matches the Rfam family "Bacterial small subunit ribosomal RNA", at positions 333 to 467 of the family's 1533-position model. The record is from RNAcentral. Lineage: Bacteria; Pseudomonadati; Bacteroidota; Bacteroidia; Bacteroidales; Bacteroidaceae.
UUACGUUUACGGGAGGCAGCAGUGAGGAAUAUUGGUCAAUGGGCGCUAGCCUGAACCAGCCAAGUAGCGUGAAGGAUGACUGCCUUAUGGGUUGUAAACUUUUUUUAUAUGGGAAAAAAGUGCAGCUGUAACUGUUGC